GUGCUCGCUUCUGCAGCACAUAUACUAAAAUUGGAACGAUACACAGAUUAGCAUGACCUCUGCAGAAGGAGGACAUGAAAAUUUGUGAAGCGUUUCAUAUUUUU
This is a small nuclear RNA of Zalophus californianus (California sea lion), 104 nucleotides long. The record is from Ensembl. NCBI's taxonomy places the organism in Eukaryota, Metazoa, Chordata, Mammalia, Carnivora, Otariidae.